Molecule: ribosomal RNA, 449 nt
Filed under: uncultured bacterium
Lineage: Bacteria
Description: partial 16S ribosomal RNA
Rfam family: Bacterial small subunit ribosomal RNA
Source: RNAcentral
AACGAACGCUGGCGGCAUGCCUAACACAUGCAAGUCGAACGAAGGCUUCGACCUUAGUGGCGCACGGGUGCGUAACGCGUGGGAAUCUGCCCCUCGGUUCGGAAUAACAGUUAGAAAUGACUGCUAAUACCGGAUGAUGACUUCGGUCCAAAGAUUUAUCGCCGAGGGAUGAGCCCGCGUAAGAUUAGGUAGUUGGUGGGGUAAAGGCCUACCAAGCCGACGAUCUUUAGCUGGUCUGAGAGGAUGAUCAGCCACACUGGGACUGAGACACGGCCCAGACUCCUACGGGAGGCAGCAGUGGGGAAUAUUGGACAAUGGGCGAAAGCCUGAUCCAGCAAUGCCGCGUGAGUGAUGAAGGCCUUAGGGUUGUAAAGCUCUUUUACCAGGGAUGAUAAUGACAGUACCUGGAGAAUAAGCUCCGGCUAACUCCGUGCCAGCAGCCGCAGUAA